GAUGAACGCUGGCGGCGUGCCUAAUACAUGCAAGUCGAGCGAACGGACGAGAAGCUUGCUUCUCUGAUGUUAGCGGCGGACGGGUGAGUAACACGUGGAUAACCUACCUAUAAGACUGGGAUAACUUCGGGAAACCGGAGCUAAUACCGGAUAAUAUUUUGAACCGCAUGGUUCAAAAGUGAAAGACGGUCUUGCUGUCACUUAUAGAUGGAUCCGCGCUGCAUUAGCUAGUUGGUAAGGUAACGGCUUACCAAGGCAACGAUGCAUAGCCGACCUGCGAGGGUGAUCGGCCGCACUGGAACUGGGACACGGUCCAGACUCCUACGGGAGGCAGCAGUAGGGAAUCUUCCGCAAUGGGCGAAAGCCUGACGGAGCAACGCCGCGUGAGUGAUGAAGGUAUUCGGAUCGUAAAACUCUGUUAUUAGGGAAGAACAUAUGUGUAAGUAACUAUGCACAUCUUGACGGUACCUAAUCAGAAAGCCACGGCUAACUACGUG
This 497-nucleotide ribosomal RNA is filed under the name uncultured bacterium. RNAcentral's name for it is "partial 16S ribosomal RNA". It matches the Rfam family "Bacterial small subunit ribosomal RNA", at positions 28 to 507 of the family's 1533-position model. The record is from RNAcentral.